This 253-nucleotide ribosomal RNA is filed under the name uncultured bacterium. RNAcentral's name for it is "partial 16S ribosomal RNA". It matches the Rfam family "Bacterial small subunit ribosomal RNA", at positions 524 to 776 of the family's 1533-position model. The record is from RNAcentral.
UACGUAGGGUGCAAGCGUUGUCCGGAAUUAUUGGGCGUAAAGAGCUUGUAGGCGGUUUGUCGCGUCUGAUGUGAAAGCCCUGGGCUCAACCUGGGAAUUGCAUUGGAUACUGGCAGGCUAGAGUGCGGUAGAGGAUGGCGGAAUUCCCGGUGUAGCAGUGAAAUGCGUAGAGAUCGGGAGGAACAUCUGUGGCGAAGGCGGCCAUCUGGACCAGCACUGACACUGAGGCACGAAAGCGUGGGGAGCAAACAGG